RNAcentral lists this long non-coding RNA (4661 nucleotides) under Canis lupus familiaris (dog). RNAcentral describes it as "lncRNA (ENSCAFG00000056685.1)". The record is from RNAcentral. Lineage: Eukaryota; Metazoa; Chordata; Mammalia; Carnivora; Canidae.
UGGCUUCCGGUGGUGCGGGGAAAGCCCUGCGUGCUGGAUCCCGCUGUGUCGGGGGACAAGGGCCCUGGAUGGCGGUUGGUCGUGGACAGAGACGCGCACGCGGCUUGCCAAGAGCUGCUCCCCGCCCGCGCGGCCUCAAGUCUGACUGAGUCCCACAGCUCGGAGGCUUCGUGGGUUGAAAAAGACAACUAUUAUCCUUAAAAAAAAGAACAAACAAAACAAAACAAAAAACAAAAAGAAAACAACAACAACAAAAAAACACAAACACACACCGGAACGCCUAUAUAAAGAGCUAAGCGGCAGUAGGACUGGAGAUAACGGGUCUCCAAUCUUCUCACGCGCUUCUAAACCACACGACGCCAACAAGAAGUGGAUUAAGGGCGGCGCCUCCCCCAGCAGGCGCGCUCCACGCGGCAUCAAGUCCAGGGGGUUCAGCGAAGCUACGAAUGACACCGACAGGAUUCGGACGCUCCUAGAAUACUAAUAUAAGGAUGGACAUUGGAGCCUCAUGACAAAAAUGAAAGUGAACAUGAUGUGGGAAAUAUGAAGAUAGGACCCACAAGCUAAGGAUUCUGGAGCAGAAAGUUUCUUAAAGUCUGUGAACUGACCGCCCAGAUGGCCUCUGGAAGUCUGCUGAAGAUUCUCCAGCCCCAUCCUAGACCUUCUGAAUCCAAAUCUCAGAGGGCAAGGGAUUCUCCGCUUUGAAGAUGUUCCCUAGGAGCUAACAUGAAGAAUGAAGGUAACAAGAUCUGAGAGAAGGAAACCCAGAGAGGCCCUGAACAAAUAGAGGCAGGCAAAACUGAGACCCUGUCCUGAUGGAGCUUACAUUUUCUGGGAGAAGACACACAUCACACAAAGAUUGAUUGUAGUCCACAGUGCUACCAAGAGAAACACAGCAAGUGGAACAGCUAUGGAUAUUAGAAGAAAGUGAAUUUGUCAGUUUUGAAAGAUCAACUUGGGAAGAAAACUUGAUUUUGUCUUUCCAGUGUAUGACAGGAAAAUGUUGACCUCUCCAGACCUCAAGGAAUGCAGGUAUAAUAGUUGAAGCUCCAGAAGCCAAUUGGACAGUGAAAUGAUUUUGGAAAAAAUUGAAGCCAUACGAAACAAAGGUCGAAGGAGCCUGGUUCCCAAUCCACAGAGGUUGAUAUUGACCCUAGAGUGACCAACUAUCUCUGGGCUUCUUAACAGGUCAGUGUGGGCAGCAGUGACCGCCUCCUCCUCCUCCCUGGAAUUGCUGUUCUCCCUCUACGCAGAAUGAUGCUGACUGAGCUUUCAACACUCCACAGUGAUCACGUCACUCCUUCCAGAGGCCCCUGGGCUUGCUGAAUAAAGGGCAAGCCCUUAGCUUGACGUGCAAGCCCUGCUGGGAGCUGGUCCCUGCCUUCAGCUCUGGCUGCAGAUCCCACCAAGCACUUGCAGCCUGACAGUCUUCUACACAAGUACUUUUUCUUUUUUAUGAAGAUUCCUCUCAUGGCAUUAGGAUAGUAGAAGGUUCGAGGAAAGUAGCACCUGGAGGCCUAGCCGCAGCCUGGGCUGCAGUUUCCUGAGGCCUCAGGAGGACUCACUCCUGGUCUAGAAUCUGACCAUUAGCCCUGGAGCCCGAGCAGCCUGUACUGUGAGAUUACGUAGAGCGACCUGGCGCAGCCACAGCCUCAGGACUUGGUUCAAGAGUCAGCACCCAUUCAUUUAUUUAUAGUACAAAAUUCGACCAUCCUAUAUUCAGUCCUCGAAGAGCAGGGAAUCUGAAUCAUGCUUAAAGUUGAAGCCUCUUCUGGGAUAUUGCUAAGGAAAAGUCCACAAUCCAGGAUUGCUAAUUAAAAUGAAUUCUACUUAUUGUGCAUAAAUUAAGUUCUAAUGAGGUUCCCCACCGCAUAUGAACGACGUCAUUCUGAACCACUGUGGUGCAAGAGAAUGAUAGAAGAAUUGACUCCCUUAAGUUAACUAACAGCUGCAUGGUUCCGUUUAGGAAGGGAAAGUGGGUAGAAUGGGGGGGGCGGAUAAGUACUAGGCAAUAAAUUACAAUGCAUGUGCAAAUAUUUAAUAUGCCCACAAUAUUCGUAAAUACGUACUAGAUCUUGCAACAGGUAUGCUAAGCCUUUUUAUUAAGAUCAUCUAUUUCAGACUAGUUUUACAGAUUUAAAGCACUUAAAAUUUUCAUAUUUAGGUCUAAGGUUUCCAGAAUUAGGGUCAGCAUUUCUCUUUUUUUCCUUCCCUUUUCAUUUUUUAUUGAGAUAGAAUUAAUAUAUAAAUUGUGUUAAUUUCAAGCGUACAACAUAAUGAUUUGAUAAAUGUAUAUAUUACAAAAUGAUCCCCACAGUUAGCUUAGUUAACAUCUGUCAACUCACAGUUAUGAGAGCCUUUAAGAUCUACUGUCUCAGCAACUUUCAAAUCUACAACACAGUAUCGUUAACUCUGAGACUCAGCAUUUCUAAAUGAAGAUAUAUGCAAUUUAUUCUAUUCUCCCCCAGAGAAGUCACUUGGAAUCCACUCAGCAGGCCUACUUAUCUGUGAGGUGCCAGGCUGAAAUAUGGGGAAUCCACCUAUUCCACAGCACUUCGGUUUGUCCCCUCAAGCCAUCUAUGAAGAGCCCUAACUCAAGCGGUCCUUUUGCAGCAUAGUGAGAGCCUUCCACAUACCUGGGCGUUUUUCGGGUUCUAUUACAAUGACCAGUGCUCUUCUUGGCACAACCUGAAAUAUCAGAGGGCAGAGAGGGAGCGGAGCGCGCAGGAGCCGGAUGGCGCUGCAGGAGGCUCGAAGGAGCGAGGCCGGAAAGGAGGUGGCGGGUCAGGUUAGGCAGCGAAGGAGGACAGAUGCAGGUAGCUGGCGGACCGGGAGCUCUGAGUGGUGUUUCUCAACCCCGGCUUCAGGACGGAAUCACCUGGAGAGCUUUAUAACCCUUCUGACACCUGGGCCCCGCCCCUGCCACUUCUGAUUCAUCCUUGGGAGGUGCAGCCAAGCGAUAAGGGUUUGCAGCUCCCCGGGUGAUCCUAAAUGACCAGCCAGAGCCGAGAACAAUUGGGAUAGAGAAAUGAUGUCUUUUAAAGACGGCAGCAGGGUAAGCACCUGUGAGUGCUGGAGAAGGAGCCAGGGAGGAGGUAAGGGGACAAUGCCUGACAUGGGGGGGAGGGGGGCUCAGCCAGGUGGGAGGCCUGCUUAGAACUCAGACGCCCCAGGGAGGGGCGAGAGGAAGGGAGAAGUGGGGGCUGUGGACUGAGUCCGGGUGGAGCAGCCCGGGGCAGCCAGCGGGGCCCCAGGCAUCCUCUGCACCCACCGCACAUCAAACACCCUCCACUGACGUGAGAACAUGGACAACAACGAGAAUAUCAACAGCAUUCUACGUAUUUCAAAUGAGUAAAAAGUAAAUUCUCUAUACUUUUGGCAUCGUGUGCAUCCUGAAGACCUGCAGGCCCUCCCCUGCCCGUCCUCGCAGCCAGAUGUCACAGACGUGUCGUGUCGCACAGGCUGAGACCCUGCGUCCCCCCAGUUGUCGCUGCCUUUCUGGCCUUGUAUGGAGGCACUCGGAGUUUGCGAGGACGCACCCUGAAGGUUCUGAAGUCCUGGGAAGAAGGUGCAGGGAACGGAGGGAUUUCCCAGGCUGCGGGCCUGUUGGUGCUGGAACCUGGGGUCCCAGGCAGGCCGGGAGGGGUAGCCCCCACCGUGGCUUGCACAACAAUCCCUAAUUCCUUUGUUGGUGACAAGCACCUGCUUUCACCUGGCCGGACCAGGGUCGAGGCGGGAGCCGGCCUGGUGAAGGGAGACACAGGACAACUCUUCUGUUGGCUUCCUUCUGCCCCUCGGGCCUCCCACUGAGGUGGAGGGGCGCCUCUCCAGGGUUAACUCCUAAGGCCCCUGUCCCUUUUUGUUCCUUUGACUUGUCUGUCCUCUACUUUUUUGUUGUUGGUUGUUUUCUGUCUUGGGGCUAGUGGCCUGAGAAGACUUCCUCCCUUCCCAAACCGCAUUUCUUCUUUCAUCCUCAGAUAAGAUAAACUAAAUCAAAUACAUACCUUAAAUCAGCAGGCCGCAGCACUUUUUCGUUAAAGAAUUUUAAACCUCUCAAUACAAAAUGAGUGCGUUGCUCUUUAGAAAUGGAGAGUGGUCUCACCUGACCUCACCUGCCCUUUGCCAAUAGAAGCUGGGUCUUUAUCAAGAAGAAACUUUCUUCUUUCUUCUACAUGGGGCUUUGCUUAGCAGCCAAUUUUAAAAUGAUCUUCAGAUGAAAAGUCACAUUCUUGAGGGAGAACAGAAAACACUUUGUACAAUAACAGGCUCAAGAGACGAGUUUUCUCUGUAUUAAGCCCUCCAUCCGUGUUUGCUGUGUCUUCAUUGUUCAUCAAGUCAACAGACUUUUUAGUGACUGAAAAGUUUCUCCUUGCCACCCUGAUUAUUUUUUCUGCCUUCACUAAAAUUUGGCAAGUAUGUGUAUCGCAAAUACUAGAUGGAAAGCUCUGGAUCAAGGUUAUGCAGCGUAUCAGUGUGGUUAAAGCAAGGCCUUGGCUGUAAUAAUCAGCUAUACACUCCAUCAGGAGAAUGUGGUGAGGUGAGGAAGGAAAAUCACAGAGCAGAGAGCCCAGAACGUCCUGCAGAAUGUCUUUUCCACGGCAACACGGCAGGUCAAUCCAGUUAUGAAACAGAAGGGUAUUAAGCAUUUGCGUGAAGGAUCA